GGUUGUGUAGUGUAGCGGUCAUCACUCCGGAUUCUGAUAUUCGGACAUUCCGGCAACCCCGGUUCGAAUCCGGGCACGACCU
Cenococcum geophilum 1.58 is the source of this 82-nucleotide non-coding RNA. The record is from the annotation of a GenBank genome assembly. Lineage: Eukaryota; Fungi; Ascomycota; Dothideomycetes; Gloniales; Gloniaceae.